GACGAACGCUGGCGGCGUGCUUAACACAUGCAAGUCGAGCGGUAAGGCCCUUUCGGGGGUACACGAGCGGCGAACGGGUGAGUAACACGUGGGUGACCUGCCCUCAGCUCUGGGAUAAGCCUGGGAAACCGGGUCUAAUACUGGAUAUGACUCCAUGACGCAUGUUGUGGGGUGGAAAGCCUUGUGCGGCUGAGGAUGGGCCCGCGGCCUAUCAGCUUGUUGGUGGGGUGANGGCCUACCAAGGCGACGACGGGUAGCCGGCCUGAGAGGGCGACCGGCCACACUGGGACUGAGACACGGCCCAGACUCCUACGGGAGGCAGCAGUGGGGAAUCUUGCGCAAUGGGCGAAAGCCUGACGCAGCGACGCCGCGUGAGGAUGA
This 381-nucleotide ribosomal RNA is filed under the name uncultured bacterium. Its description in RNAcentral is "bacterial SSU rRNA". It matches the Rfam family "Bacterial small subunit ribosomal RNA", at positions 28 to 411 of the family's 1533-position model. The record is from RNAcentral.